Molecule: unclassified non-coding RNA, 221 nt
Filed under: Hevea brasiliensis (rubber tree)
Lineage: Eukaryota; Viridiplantae; Streptophyta; Magnoliopsida; Malpighiales; Euphorbiaceae
Source: RNAcentral
GUAUUUUAGAAGAGAAGCUUCAUGAAGUGGUUAUGAAGAAGAGAGGUCUGCUAACUAAACUUGAGAAGACUGCCGUGGAGGCAAGAACUCAACAACAGAGUGAACUGGAGCGCAUUGCAUUGGAUAAACUUGUUGGGACUGCUUACCAGAAAUACAUGGCUUGUUCGGGCCCUAACACAAACAAAAACGCCAAACUUGUUGCCCUGGCUCUUGUCAGACGG